AGAAGACCCAGUGGAAGCAACUGAGCCUUUCCGUAGCAUUACCAAAGAAAGCAUGCAGCUGAAAGUGAUCCUGGUGGGUUUGGCCCUCUUUGGCCUUAUUGUGGCAGAGAGCGGUGCUAUGCCGGCCAGCAGCUCCACUGAUGCCGAGGCCAGGGCUGAUCCCGAGAUUGCUGAGCGUGCCGAGCAGGGCAGCGCCGAGGAGGCGCGCAUCAGCGAGGCAUGCAUGGCUUCACUGUGCGGGUGAUAACCUGAGGCAAGGGAGUGACGCCUUCUAAAGAUCGUCUCCCGCAAAAAUAGCACGAAUAUUUCGAAAGUAGUAUAGGCACUGCCCAGCACUCCACACCAUGCCCCAGUGCCGAAUAUUGGCGCUUGCGGAUGGCUAUUGCGCAUGGCUGUUGCGCAUGCUCUUAUAUUGAAUAAAGUUCCAUUUAAAUAUCUAAACU
Molecule: long non-coding RNA, 443 nt
Organism: Dermacentor albipictus
Lineage: Eukaryota; Metazoa; Arthropoda; Arachnida; Ixodida; Ixodidae
Source: RefSeq, a predicted model, not a curated record